RNAcentral lists this ribosomal RNA (526 nucleotides) under uncultured bacterium. RNAcentral describes it as "bacterial SSU rRNA". It matches the Rfam family "Bacterial small subunit ribosomal RNA", at positions 984 to 1509 of the family's 1533-position model. The record is from RNAcentral.
ACAUCCAGCGAAUUCGGUAGAGAUACCUUAGGUGCCUUCGGGAACGCUGAGACAGGUGCUGCAUGGCUGUCGUCAGCUCGUGUUGUGAAAUGUUGGGUUAAGUCCCGCAACGAGCGCAACCCUUAUCCUUUGUUGCCAGCGGUCCGGCCGGGAAACUCAAAGGAGACUGCCAGUGAUAACUGGAGGAAGGUGGGGAUGACGUCAAGUCAUCAUGGCCCUUACGAGUAGGGCUACACACGUGCUACAAUGGCGCAUACAAAGAGAAGCGACCUCGCGAGAGCAAGCGGACCUCAUAAAGUGCGUCGUAGUCCGGAUUGGAGUCUGCAACUCGACUCCAUGAAGUCGGAAUCGCUAGUAAUCGUAGAUCAGAAUGCUACGGUGAAUACGUUCCCGGGCCUUGUACACACCGCCCGUCACACCAUGGGAGUGGGUUGCAAAAGAAGUAGGUAGCUUAACCUUCGGGAGGGCGCUUACCACUUUGUGAUUCAUGACUGGGGUGAAGUCGUAACAAGGUAAGCGUAGCGAG